Molecule: ribosomal RNA, 442 nt
Filed under: uncultured bacterium
Lineage: Bacteria
Description: partial 16S ribosomal RNA
Rfam family: Bacterial small subunit ribosomal RNA
Source: RNAcentral
CCUACGGGUGGCAGCAGUGGGGAAUAUUGCGCAAUGGGCGAAAGCCUGACGCAGCGACGCCGCGUGAAGGAAGAAGGCUUUCGGGUUGUAAACUUCUUUUAAGGGGGAAGAGCAGAAGACGGUACCCCUUGAAUAAGCCACGGCUAACUACGUGCCAGCAGCCGCGGUAAUACGUAGGUGGCAAGCGUUGUCCGGAUUUACUGGGUGUAAAGGGCGUGCAGCCGGAGAGACAAGUCAGAUGUGAAAUCCACGGGCUCAACCCGUGAACUGCAUUUGAAACUGUUUCCCUUGAGUGUCGGAGAGGUAAUCGGAAUUCCUUGUGUAGCGGUGAAAUGCGUAGAUAUAAGGAAGAACACCAGUGGCGAAGGCAGAUUACUGGACGAUAACUGACGGUGAGGCGCGAAAGCGUGGGGAGCAAACAGGAUUAGAUACCCCAGUAGUC